AUAGCGUAUAUUAAAGUUGUUGUGGUUAAAAAGCUCGUAGUUGAACCUUGGGCCUGGCUGGCCGGUCCGCCUCACCGCGUGUACUGGUCCGGCCGGGCCUUUCCCUCUGUGGAACCCCAUGCCCUUCACUGGGUGUGGCGGGGAAACAGGACUUUUACUUUGAAAAAAUUAGAGUGCUCCAGGCAGGCCUAUGCUCGAAUACAUUAGCAUGGAAUAAUAGAAUAGGACUUUGGUUCUAUUUUGUUGGUUUCUAGGACCGAAGUAAUGAUUAAUAGGGAUAGUUGGGGGCAUUAGUAUUUAAUUGUCAGAGGUGAAAUUCUUGGAUUUAUUAAAGACUAACUUCUG
RNAcentral lists this ribosomal RNA (345 nucleotides) under uncultured eukaryote. RNAcentral describes it as "SSU rRNA". It matches the Rfam family "Eukaryotic small subunit ribosomal RNA", at positions 594 to 945 of the family's 1831-position model. The record is from RNAcentral.